RNAcentral lists this ribosomal RNA (496 nucleotides) under uncultured bacterium. Its description in RNAcentral is "bacterial SSU rRNA". It matches the Rfam family "Bacterial small subunit ribosomal RNA", at positions 29 to 518 of the family's 1533-position model. The record is from RNAcentral.
AUGAACGCUAGCGGCAGGCUUAACACAUGCAAGUCGAGGGGCAUCGGGAGUAGCAAUACUUGCCGGCGACCGGCGCAAGGGUGCGUAACGCGUGAGCAACAUGCCCGUAUCAGGGGGAUAAUCCAUGGAAACGUGGUCUAAUACCCCAUAGUAAUUAUGUAAGGCAUCUUAUAUAAUUUAAAGCUUUGGUGGAUACGGAUUGGCUCGCGUGACAUCAGCUGGAUGGUAAGGUAACGGCUUACCAUGGCUACGAUGUCUAGGGGUUCUGAGAGGAAGGUCCCCCACACUGGAACUGAGACACGGUCCAGACUCCUACGGGAGGCAGCAGUGAGGAAUAUUGGACAAUGGAUGGAAAUCUGAUCCAGCCAUGCCGCGUGCAGGAAGAACCGGCCCUAUGGGUUGUAAACUGCUUUUGUAUGGGAGCAAUAAGGGCUACGUGUAGUCCGAUGAGAGUACCAUACGAAUAAGCACCGGCUAACUCCGUGCCAGCAGCAGC